This 253-nucleotide ribosomal RNA is filed under the name uncultured bacterium. RNAcentral's name for it is "partial 16S ribosomal RNA". It matches the Rfam family "Bacterial small subunit ribosomal RNA", at positions 524 to 776 of the family's 1533-position model. The record is from RNAcentral.
UACGAGCGGCCCAAACGUUAUUCGGAUUUACUGGGCUUAAAGAGUUCGUAGGCCGCGCGGCAAGUAGGGUGUGAAAGCCCUCGGCUUAACCGAGGAACUGCGCUCUAAACUACCGUGCUUGAGGAACCUAGAGGUGAGCAGAACUGAUGGUGGAGCGGUGAAAUGCGUUGAUAUCAGGAGGAACACCGGUGGCGAAGGCGGGUCUCUGGGCCGAUAUCGACGCUGAGGAGCGAAAGCGUGGGGAGCGAACAGG